CUACAAACACCAUUGAUCCCUGCAGUUCAAGAAGAUAGAAUCAUGUUGUGGCCAGAUCCUAAAGCACGGUUUUCACUCAAAAGCGCAUAUUAUUUGGCCAUACAUAACAUGAUUGAUAGCUCUGAGUUUAAGGUCAAUGGUGAUUGACCUACUGUUUGGAAGUUGGAAUUGCCGGCAACGAUUAUGAAUUUUGUCUGGCGAAGGUUGACGAAUUGUCUUCUUACAAGGUCUCGGCUGCGACAAAAAGGUGUGGAAUGCUCAAUGUCGUGGCUUUGUUCUGGGACCUAAUGGAACCUGUUAUCCUUG
Molecule: long non-coding RNA, 306 nt
Filed under: Trifolium pratense (red clover)
Lineage: Eukaryota; Viridiplantae; Streptophyta; Magnoliopsida; Fabales; Fabaceae
Description: long non-coding RNA (TPRA_LNC000304)
Source: RNAcentral